RNAcentral lists this ribosomal RNA (911 nucleotides) under uncultured marine archaeon. Its description in RNAcentral is "bacterial SSU rRNA". It matches the Rfam family "Archaeal small subunit ribosomal RNA", at positions 5 to 921 of the family's 1478-position model. The record is from RNAcentral.
UGGUUGAUCCUGCCGGAGGCUACCGCUAUUGGAGUUCGAUUAAGCCAUGCGAGUCGCGAGUCUUAGGGACUCGGCGUACCGCUCAGUAACACGUGGGUAACCUGCCCUAUGCUGGGGGAUAACCUCGGGAAACUGAGAAUAAUACCCCAUAGUUCACCACGCCUGGAACGGUGGGUGGACCAAAGCUCCGGCGGCAUAGGAUGGGCCUGCGGCGUAUCAGGUUGUAGGGGGUGUAAUGUACCCUCUAGCCCUCUACGCGUACGGGUGUUGAGAGACAUCGCCCGGAGAUGGAUUCUGAGACACGAAUCCAGACCCCACGGGGUGCAGCAGGCGCGAAAACUUGGCAAUGCGAGAAAUCGUGACCAGGGAACUCCAAGUGCAUCGGGUAAGACCGAUGCUUUUCUUGACUCUUCAAAGGUCUUGGAAUAAGGGGUGGGUAAGGACGGUGCCAGCCGCCGCGGUAAUACCGGCGCCCCAAGUGGUAGUCGCUUUUAUUGGGCCUAAAACGUCCGUAGCCGGUCUGGUACAUUCGUGGGUAAAUCAACCAGCUCAACUGGUUGAAUUCUGCGAGCACGGCCAGACUUGGGACCGGGAGAGGUGUGGGGUACUCUCAGGGUAGGGGUAAAAUCCUGUCAUCCUGAGAGGACCACCUGUUGCGAAGGCGCCACACUAGAACGGAUCCGACGGUCAGGGACGAAGCCUAGGGGCACGAACCGGAUUAGAUACCCGGGUAGUCCUAGGUGUAAACGCUGUGGACUUGAUGUUGGGGGCGCUCCGAGCGCACUCAGUGUCGAAGCGAAGGUGAUAAGUCCACUGCCUGGGGAGUACGGUCGCAAGGCUGAAACUUAAAGGAAUUGGCGGGGGAGCACCGCAACCUGAGGAUUGUGCGGUUUAAUUGGAUUCAACGCCGG